GACGAACGCUGGAGGCGUGCUUAACACAUGCAAGUCGAACGAUGAAAUGGAGCUAGCUCCAUGGAUUAGUGGCGAACGGGUGAGUAACACGUGAAUAACCUGCCCUUAAUUUUGGAAUAACCCAGGGAAACCUGGGCUAAUACCGGAUAAGUAAACCUGUGGCAUCACAUGGUUUUGGAAAGUUUUUCGAUUAAGGAUGGAUUCGCGGCCUAUCAGCUUGUUGGUGAGGUAAUGGCUCACCAAGGCGACGACGGGUAGCCGGCCUGAGAGGGUGAACGGCCACACUGGGACUGAGACACUGCCCAGACUCCUACGGGAGGCAGCAGUGGGGAAUAUUGCGCAAUGGACGAAAGUCUGACGCAGCGACGCCUCGUGAGGGACGAAGGUCUUCGGAUUGUAAACCUCUUUCAGCAGGGACGAAGCGAAAGUGACGGUACCUGCAGAAGAAGCACCGGCUAACUAUGUGCCAGCCGCCGCGGUAA
This 482-nucleotide ribosomal RNA is filed under the name uncultured bacterium. RNAcentral describes it as "partial 16S ribosomal RNA". It matches the Rfam family "Bacterial small subunit ribosomal RNA", at positions 28 to 523 of the family's 1533-position model. The record is from RNAcentral.